CUCCAAAGAGAGCUGACUCGACCAAUUUGGACUUAUAAAUAAGUUCGUACUGCUGCUGGAGGUGUUGUUCAACCAAAGUGGUUUGCAACCGAACAACAAGCCCUGAUGACCCAUCACCUGAGAAGAUCAACGUCGGCGCUACAAACAACGCUGGACCCCUGGUGGUGUCCCAGCAUGUAAGAGGCAGAAAGCAGCCCUUGCUGACUUCCUGCUCUGAUCCAUUUCUGUCCUCUGCGAACCCUUGGGUAGGAUUGUGACAUAGUACUUCAAAUCUAAGGUAUUUUGCUUCAGUAGUGCCAGGAUUUAUGCAGUAUGCUCCCACGCUUGCUCAUCUCUGUCAGCAAACUCCAGGCUGAGGAGGUGGAUCUCAAAAGGUGGGUCUACACAUUCAGAUAAAUUACAUUAAAGAUUUAAUGUACAAUGCUUUUAACUGAAGAAUUAUUUCAACUGCUAGUCUGAUAAACACUCACGUCUUAAUUCUUGUCAGUAAUUCUGGUGAUACGCGGUUGGAUUUAUAGUGUUCUUCAAGUAGGUGCUUUAUUACUUAUCCAACAGAUCUGUACCCAGGAGAACUCAAAUGAGAGGAUUUGGAAAGAUGAAGAGAUAAGGCAGAAACAUAUAAAUGCAGGAUUUAGAGUUCUGUCCAAGGAAAAUAUCAAUUGUCAUGAACAAAUUAUUUUAAAGAUUAUAAGACAAUUCAAGCUUUUACAUCAGUUUUUCUUGCAGCACCACAAUUACUGCUUCUUUUUUGAAUUGAGCAAUGGCAUCCUUUUUUUCACAUCAUACAUUUCUUUCAACUCCGUGCCCUUUGCAGAAGUAUAGCGAGUAGAAAAGAGUAUAGAAAUUAUGAAAAGCAGGGAAGUGUCUGGUAGAGGCAUGUGCAAAUGAGCAAGAAGAAAAGAAAUGUAUGGAGAAAGAGAAGAAAGAGCAGUACAUCCACAGAAGAGCCAAUAGACUGAAUGACCUGACUUCAGAUACCUGGCAAGUUGCUAGCAAGAUGACUGUUUUACUUUUUAAUACAGCAAUUUUGAUGUGGGAUAAGCAAAAGUUGGAUCUCCUGCCCCAUUACAUCUCCAGAUGAAUGUUCGUUUUCUUAGCACACUAUGGAUGUGUUCAUUCUGCUGCCCAUAGCAUGUCCAGACUGCUCAUCUCACUGGCACUUUGCUGUCUGCAUUGCAGACCCUCAUCACAUGUUUUCCUGUCAUCUGAUAUCUGUUCACGUGAUAGGGGAACUUGUGAUAAUAGAUGCAUGGCCAUAGUCUAUUGCUGUCAAGUGCCUUCACAAAAUGCAGGUUUUGGUGUCAUUAGUCACUGAAGGAGGUGUGUAGUGGGGCUCUGAAUGUGAUGGGCAUUUGCUUCAGAAUUGCACUGAUCUGAACGGAAAUGCUAACAAAAUGAGAACGCAUACCGAAUGCAAGUUUGUUAAAGAAAGAGACUUAUAGACUGUCAACCUCACCGAGGAGCAAGAAGCAGUAGUCACAAAAU
This is a long non-coding RNA of Numida meleagris (helmeted guineafowl), 1485 nucleotides long. RefSeq lists it as uncharacterized. NCBI's taxonomy places the organism in Eukaryota, Metazoa, Chordata, Aves, Galliformes, Numididae. The record is from RefSeq and is a predicted model, not a curated record. The transcript is spliced from 3 exons.